AGAUGAUAACACCCUCGUUGCGCGGGAGUAAAGUUUUAAAGGUAAAACAAACAGGAAACGAGCGUUGGCGGCGAAUCUGCUGCUACCAAUGUAAAGGUCAGGCCGAGGCCGGCGCGGAGAAUCUGCUGUCGCCUGCAGCUGCUCGCCUGUCUCAGUCGGAAGGGAGCCCAAGCUUUGCUGAGAACAUGAACGAUUGGAUGCCCAUCGCCAAGGAGUAUGAUCCACUCAAAGCGGGCAGCAUUGAUGGCACCGAUGAAGACCCACAUGACCGCGCGGUCUGGAGGGCAAUGCUGGCACGAUAUGUCCCCAACAAAGGUGUCAUAGGAGAUCCCCUCCUCACCCUGUUUGUGGCCAGACUAAACUUGCAGACCAAGGAGGACAAAUUAAAGGAAGUCUUUUCCCGCUAUGGUGACAUCCGGCGGCUUCGGCUGGUCAGGGACUUGGUCACAGGCUUUUCAAAGGGCUACGCCUUCAUCGAAUACAAGGAGGAGCGUGCCGUGAUCAAAGCUUACCGAGAUGCUGAUGGCCUGGUUAUUGACCAGCAUGAGAUAUUUGUGGACUAUGAGCUGGAAAGGACUCUCAAAGGGUGGAUCCCUCGGCGACUUGGAGGUGGUCUUGGGGGAAAAAAGGAGUCUGGGCAACUGAGAUUUGGGGGACGGGACCGGCCUUUUCGAAAACCUAUUAACUUGCCAGUCGUUAAAAACGACCUCUACAGAGAGGGAAAACGGGAAAGGCGGGAGCGAUCUCGAUCCCGAGAAAGACACUGGGACUCGAGGACAAGGGAUCGAGACCAUGACAGGGGCCGGGAGAAGAGAUGGCAAGAAAGAGAGCCGACCAGGGUGUGGCCUGACAAUGACUGGGAGAGAGAGAGGGACUUCAGAGAUGACAGGAUCAAGGGGAGGGAGAAGAAGGAAAGAGGCAAGUAGAGGCCCAACAGCAGACCCCAAAGUGAAGUUACAGUGGAAAUGAGUGGAGGGAGAUUGUCUUUCAACGCAGCCCCAAGAGUUUGCUGAAUUGAAAUAAAAAUGGGAUAGAAAAGUGAAUUCAAGGAGAAUGUCCAGAGCCCUAAUACCAGAAGGCAGUCUGCACAGCCAGGUCAGCAUUCUUGAACAAAUGCACCUCCACUCUCACUCAAAAUGCCGACUGUCUUUCUUCUUUUUCUGGCUGACAUUUAAAAUUAAAAACCAAAGUUGCUGGGCUGUGAUCUAUGGCAGCCUUCCAGCUCUUUGAAAAGAUAAAGUUCGACAGAAGUGGUGGUGAAAUGAAAAUGAAGAAUAAGGAGUGGUCAGGAUCUAUGAAAGAAUUACAGCUAGUUCUGAUGGAUUGAUUUUUCCUUUCUCUUUUGAUAUCCAGUCUCUGGUGUGUUGGAGAUAUAGAUCUGCUGACCUUAACUUCUAAGGACCUUGAGCAAGUACCAUACUGUUUGGAUGAUUUCCAAAAAAGUGACAUUUAGCAUUUUGAUAAAA
Nomascus leucogenys (northern white-cheeked gibbon) is the source of this 1466-nucleotide RNA transcript. It is a transcript of the gene named small nuclear ribonucleoprotein U11/U12 subunit 35, with no coding region annotated. NCBI's taxonomy places the organism in Eukaryota, Metazoa, Chordata, Mammalia, Primates, Hylobatidae. The transcript is spliced from 3 exons. The record is from RefSeq and is a predicted model, not a curated record.